UGUCUCCUCUAUUCUCUUAACGGAAAAUAGAUUUAGCCCGCUCUCGAGCGGGCUUUUUUUU
This 61-nucleotide non-coding RNA is filed under the name Janthinobacterium agaricidamnosum NBRC 102515 = DSM 9628. Its description in RNAcentral is "Betaproteobacteria toxic small RNA". It matches the Rfam family "Betaproteobacteria toxic small RNA". From Rfam's summary of the family: Overexpression in amino aid rich medium attenuates growth, suggesting role in repressing amino acid intake and metabolism. Lineage: Bacteria; Pseudomonadati; Pseudomonadota; Betaproteobacteria; Burkholderiales; Oxalobacteraceae. The record is from Rfam by way of RNAcentral.